GUGGGGAAUUUUGGACAAUGGGGGCAACCCUGAUCCAGCCAUGCCGCGUGCGGGAAGAAGGCCUUCGGGUUGUAAACCGCUUUUGUCAGGGAAGAAAUCCUUAGGGUUAAUACCUCGGAGGGAUGACGGUACCUGAAGAAUAAGCACCGGCUAACUACGUGCCAGCAGCCGCGGUAAUACGUAGGGUGCGAGCGUUAAUCGGAAUUACUGGGCGUAAAGCGUGCGCAGGCGGUUUUGUAAGAUCGAUGUGAAAUCCCCGGGCUCAACCUGGGAACUGCAUUGGUGACUGCAAGGCUGGAGUGCGGCAGAGGGGGAUGGAAUUCCGCGUGUAGCAGUGAAAUGCGUAGAUAUGCGGAGGAACACCGAUGGCGAAGGCAAUCCCCUGGGCCUGCACUGACGCUCAUGCACGAAAGCGUGGGGAGCAAACAGGAUUAGAAACCCCAGUAGUCC
This 450-nucleotide ribosomal RNA is filed under the name uncultured bacterium. RNAcentral's name for it is "partial 16S ribosomal RNA". It matches the Rfam family "Bacterial small subunit ribosomal RNA", at positions 354 to 796 of the family's 1533-position model. The record is from RNAcentral.